AGAGGAGCGCUGUUUCUGGAGGAGUUAGGGGAAGGAGGCUGCCUGGUAAGCCAGGAAAGGGGCUUCUGGCCGUUCUGUUGGAGCGCCUCUGACUGACUUCCCCCAUGUGUCCGUGUGGCCACACCGUGCUACUUUCAGAGGCAGUGGGCUUUUCGCUAAGGGAUAAAAAGAAGUAAAACCUUGCCUUUAGCGCAGCUCUCCUUCACUGGGCAGAUUGCUCUCCCUCCCCACUCUCCCAGGCCCAAAUUGGAUCUCAGCGCCUGGGAGCUCCAACUUUAGCAAGUGCGAAAUCCUGUCUUCGGUUUUGGAAUUUUCAUCCGCACAGACUAUAUCAGCCACGGAUAGGAUAUGUGAGAAUACCAGCAUGUCAAGGCUGGGAAUCAUCCUUAGGCAUCACCUAGCCAGUCCUGCCUCUCAUUUUAAGAUGCAGAGUGUUCAUAUGAGGAGAGACUUUCCCUUGUCUCCGUCAUCUGUGAUUUCACUUCCCUGACAGAAGACGAAGCUUCCAUCUCAGAUGUUUUCUUAAAUGAUGAAACAGCAUACGCCUCUGUUCUUGUCAGCUCAGGGAAAACAGAUCUGGGGACCUCUUCAUCUCUGCGUUGGGAAGCAUAGGUGGUAUAAUCCCCUCCUGUCACGUCCAACGUUGCAUAGUCAGAAGCUUCGCCCUUGUAGUUGGUGCACACAGCACGGUAGGUUCCACUGUCAUCAGUAUGACAGUCCAGAAUUUCCAGGGUGAGGACUCCACUCGUGUUGGUGUAAUGAAUCUUACUGCUUUCUUGGAGUUCCACACCAUUGUGGUACCAUUUAACCUCGGCAGUUGGCUUAGACUGAACAUUUAAAAUAAAACGUGUAUUUUGGCCA
This 861-nucleotide long non-coding RNA is filed under the name Homo sapiens (human). Its description in RNAcentral is "HSALNT0307557". Lineage: Eukaryota; Metazoa; Chordata; Mammalia; Primates; Hominidae. The record is from RNAcentral.